GUGUGAGAUUUGGCUGCGCCUCGCCUGCAGCUUCCGCGAGAUGCUCGGUUGUACAGAACUCGGACCAGAAGUGACCGUUUAUGGCGUUCAAGUAGAGAGUACUAGUAGUAGUACUAGUAGUCUUCUUCAAGGUUUUUUUCUCAGUUUUUCUUAGUUUAGUUUUGGAAUUCUGUGGCCAUGAGUCGGAGGUCCCGAGUAGAUUACAAGGCGCUGAAUCGUACGUCAACUGCCGAUUUCCUUCCAAGUACACGUCGAACUCUAUCCCGUGGAGAAGACGACGGCGUGUAUAGGGCCAGCUAUCUGCUUGACAAGCGACGGAGAAAGAGGAAGGUGAGAAUUUGAAUAUUGUCGAUAUUAGUUGCAAUCACAUAUUUUCUCGGCUGACAAUGGAGCAAAACCUUCUUGCGUGUUUGGCAACAGGUUCAGUACCUCGUCAAGUGGCUGGGAUAUUCUGCUAGGGAGAGCUCUUGGGUGGAAGCCAUUGACAUAACGGAGGAUUUGAUUCGGGCAUUUGAGUCUGGCGUUUGCGAGAGCAAUUUCUCGCCAGAUGAGCUUCACGCCGCUGCUGACAGCUUUAUUAUAGCGGUACAGAAAAGGCUGCGUUCUGGUGCCGCAAUCGGGGAGCCAUUUCAUUGUCGGCGUGACAUCCUCAUGUGCUGGUUUGGUGACAAACCAAAGAACAGGGGUGCAUGGACGCUUGACAGAAAAGAUUUCCCCGGAAAGUACUUCCUGCCAGGUUGGGACAGGGUGUUAGAUCAGUUUGGUCAAGGUCCUCAAGUGGUCUAUCCCAUUACCCUGCGACCUACAGUACGUAGGUCACCCAAAAAUCACACUAGGGGUGAGGCAGGGCACAUAGUUGCAGUACAACAAGUUGCUGUGCAGUACGGGUCUGUGAACUUCGCUCAGCAGCAGUGCAAGGAAUUUGCCACAUGAAUGGUGAGUGGUGGCUCAGUAUCUGACGGCGUCCGCUAUGCAGCAGUACAUCAGCACAUGCAUCCCACUUGUUGCUCUUCUGCAUGUGACUCCGCCGUGCUUCAUCGUUGGUCUUCUCAACGCCUGUAGCCAAUAAUAGCCAGCACGCGUGAUGCGCUGUCGCUGCACUCAAGCCAAGCACCAGACCCAGGAACUGCAGCGGAAAAAGCAAGAACAUAGCAGCAAGCUCCACCACACGCCUCUGCAUGGCAGCCAAGUCGCUGACGCUGGCGUUGCUGACGAUGUCAGCUUCAUCAAGCCGCAGCUCAUAGGUUCGCCCUGGAAAGGAGGAGAUUCAGAAUCACAAUAUUCCUUUGAUACCAUUCUUUAUUUUCAUCACUAUUCUCACUAUGGUACAAUAUUAUCAGUGCUUACCUUUGUAACAUAUUUCAGCACUUUUCUUCUUCUUUUUUCUCUGCUGCUCGAAGCAGUAACGUGCCUUCUGCACUUUCUCAAAGAGCUCCCGUUGCCUGCCAUCCUUGAUGGUAAUCUUUCCUCCGGCCUCUGUUUUACUGAAAAAAUCGUUCCAGUCCUUGUGCUGGGAACAUAGAA
Molecule: long non-coding RNA, 1524 nt
Organism: Sycon ciliatum
Lineage: Eukaryota; Metazoa; Porifera; Calcarea; Leucosolenida; Sycettidae
Exons: 5
Source: RefSeq, a predicted model, not a curated record